RNAcentral lists this ribosomal RNA (482 nucleotides) under uncultured bacterium. RNAcentral's name for it is "partial 16S ribosomal RNA". It matches the Rfam family "Bacterial small subunit ribosomal RNA", at positions 28 to 507 of the family's 1533-position model. The record is from RNAcentral.
GAUGAACGCUGGCGGCGUGCCUAAUACAUGCAAGUCGAACGCUUCACUUCGGUGAAGAGUGGCGAACGGGUGAGUAAUACAUAAGUAACCUGGCAUCUACAGGGGGAUAACUGAUGGAAACGUCAGCUAAGGCCGCAUAGGUGUAGAGAUCGCAUGAACUCUAUAUGAAAAGUGCUACGGGACUGGUAGAUGAUGGACUUAUGGCGCAUUAGCUUGUUGGUAGGGUAACGGCCUACCAAGGCGACGAUGCGUAGCCGACCUGAGAGGGUGACCGGCCACACUGGGACUGAGACACGGCCCAGACUCCUACGGGAGGCAGCAGUAGGGAAUUUUCGGCAAUGGGGGAAACCCUGACCGAGCAACGCCGCGUGAAGGAAGAAGUAAUUCGUUAUGUAAACUUCUGUCAUAGAGGAAGAACGGUGGAUAUAGGGAAUGAUAUCCAAGUGACGGUACUCUAUAAGAAAGCCACGGCUAACUACGUG